Molecule: ribosomal RNA, 605 nt
Filed under: Pichia sp.
Lineage: Eukaryota; Fungi; Ascomycota; Pichiomycetes; Pichiales; Pichiaceae
Description: partial large subunit ribosomal RNA
Rfam family: Eukaryotic large subunit ribosomal RNA
Source: RNAcentral
UGCAUAUCCAAAAAGCGGAGGAAAAGAAACCAACAGGGAUUGCCUUAGUAGCGGCGAGUGAAGCGGCAAAAGCUCAAAUUUGAAAUCUGGCGCCUUCGGUGUCCGAGUUGUAAUUUGAAGAUUGUAACCUUGGGGUUGGCUCUUGUCUAUGUUUCUUGGAACAGGACGUCACAGAGGGUGAGAAUCCCGUGCGAUGAGAUGCCCAAUUCUAUGUAAGGUGCUUUCGAAGAGUCGAGUUGUUUGGGAAUGCAGCUCUAAGUGGGUGGUAAAUUCCAUCUAAAGCUAAAUAUUGGCGAGAGACCGAUAGCGAACAAGUACAGUGAUGGAAAGAUGAAAAGAACUUUGAAAAGAGAGUGAAAAAGUACGUGAAAUUGUUGAAAGGGAAGGGUUUGAGAUCAGACUCGAUAUUUUGUGAGCCUUGCCUUCGUGGCGGGGUGACCCGCAGCUUAUCGGGCCAGCAUCGGUUUGGGCGGUAGGAUAAUGGCGUAGGAAUGUGACUUUACUUCGGUGAAGUGUUAUAGCCUGCGUUGAUGCUGCCUGCCUAGACCGAGGACUGCGAUUUUAUCAAGGAUGCUGGCAUAAUGAUCCCAAACCGCCCGUCUUGA